AAUGUUAAGAUUAGCCAUGCAUGUCUCAGUAUAAGCUUCUAUACGGCGAAACUGCGAAUGGCUCAUUAAAACAGUUAUAGUUUAUUUGGUGGUCAGCAAUUACAUGGAUAACCGUGGUAAUUCUAGAGCUAAUACAUGCGCCCAAACCCGACUUCGUGGAAGGGUUGUGUUUAUUAGAUACAGAACCAACCCAGGCUCCGCCUGGCCUUGAGGUGAUUCAUAAUAACCGAACGAAUCGCAUGGCUAUGCCGGCGAUAGACCAUUCAAGUUUCUGACCUAUCAGCUAUCGUCGGUAGGGUAUUGGCCUACCGUGGCAAUGACGGGUAACGGAGAAUUAGGGUUCGAUUCCGGAGAGGGAGCCUGAGAAACGGCUACCACAUCUAAGGAAGGCAGCAGGCGCGCAAAUUACCCAAUCCUGACGCAGGGAGGUAGUGACAAGAAAUAACAAUACAGGGCAUACAUGUCUUGUAAUUGGAAUGAGUAAACUUUAAAUCACUUUA
This 500-nucleotide ribosomal RNA is filed under the name uncultured eukaryote. Its description in RNAcentral is "SSU rRNA". It matches the Rfam family "Eukaryotic small subunit ribosomal RNA", at positions 34 to 537 of the family's 1831-position model. The record is from RNAcentral.